CACGUAGGAGACGAGCGUUAUCCGGAUUUACUGGGUGUAAAGCGCGUGCAGGCGGUUUGGAAAGUUGGAUGUGAAAGCUCCCGGCUUAACUGGGAGAGGUCGUUCAAAACUACCAGACUAGAGUACAGCAGAGGGGAGUGGAAUUCCGAGUGUAGCGGUAAAAUGCAUAGAUAUUCGGAAGAACACCAGUGGCGAAGGCGGCUCCCUGGGCUGAAACUGACGCUCAGACGCGAAAGCUAGGGUAGCGAACGGGAUUAGAGACCCCGGUAGUCCUAGCCGUAAACGAUGUGGACUUGGCGUAGGCGGGUUGAAAUCCAUCUGUGCCGAAGCAAACGCGAUAAGUCCACCACCUGGGGACUACGGCCGCAAGGCUAAA
RNAcentral lists this ribosomal RNA (376 nucleotides) under uncultured bacterium. RNAcentral describes it as "bacterial SSU rRNA". It matches the Rfam family "Bacterial small subunit ribosomal RNA", at positions 524 to 898 of the family's 1533-position model. The record is from RNAcentral.